This 467-nucleotide ribosomal RNA is filed under the name uncultured bacterium. RNAcentral describes it as "partial 16S ribosomal RNA". It matches the Rfam family "Bacterial small subunit ribosomal RNA", at positions 28 to 507 of the family's 1533-position model. The record is from RNAcentral.
GACGAACGCUGGCGGCGUGCUUAACACAUGCAAGUCGAACGGAAAGGCCUCUUUCGGGGGGUACUCGAGUGGCGAACGGGUGAGUAACACGUGAGUAACCUGCCCUUUACUUUGGGAUAACUUCAGGAAACUGGGGCUAAUACCGGAUAGGAGCUCCUGCUGCAUGGUGGGGGUCGGAAAGUUUCGGGGGUUGGGGAUGGAAGCGCGGGUUAUCAGCGUGUUGGUGGGGUAGUGGCUUACCAAGGCUUUGACGGGUAGCCGGCCUGGGAGGGUGACCGGCCACAUUGGGACUGAGAUACGGACCAGAAUGCUACGGGAGGCAGCAGUGGGGAAUAUUGCACAAUGGGUGGAAGCCUGAUGCAGCAGCGCCGUGUGCGGGAUGACGGGCUUCGGGUUGUAAACCGCUUUCGCUCAUGACGAAGCUUUGUGUGACGGUAGUGGAUAAAGAAGCACCGGCUAACUACGUG